AGAGUUUGAUCCUGGCUCAGGAUAAACGCUGGCGGCGUGCCUAACACAUGCAAGUCGAACGCCCUACGCAAGUAGGGAGUGGCGGACGGGUGAGGAACACGUGGGUCAUCUACCCUUAGGUGAGGAAUACCGGCGAGAAAUCGCCGACAAUACCGCAUACGCUCGGUCACGAGCAAAGCCCGCAAGGGCGCCUGAGGAUG
Molecule: ribosomal RNA, 200 nt
Filed under: uncultured bacterium
Lineage: Bacteria
Description: partial 16S ribosomal RNA
Rfam family: Bacterial small subunit ribosomal RNA
Source: RNAcentral